This 760-nucleotide ribosomal RNA is filed under the name uncultured archaeon. Its description in RNAcentral is "bacterial SSU rRNA". It matches the Rfam family "Archaeal small subunit ribosomal RNA", at positions 113 to 879 of the family's 1478-position model. The record is from RNAcentral.
CCUUAAGUCGUGGAUACCCUCGGGAAACUGAGGUUAAACCUCGAUAGGAGACAUACCCUGGAAAGAUUUGUCUCAUAAACUUGAGCUUAAGGAUGGGGCUGCGGCGGAUUAGGUUGUUGGCGGGGUAAUAGCCCACCAAGCCGAAGAUCCGUAAGGGCUCUUAGCGGAGAGGCCCUGAGAGGGAAUCUGAGACACUAUUCCCAGCCCUACGGGGUGCAGCAGUUAGGAAUCUUCUGCAAUGCGCGCAAGCGUGACAGAGCGAACCAGAGUGUCUUUCAUAUGAAAGACUUUUGCUAGAUGCAAAAAGUCUGGCGAAUAAGGACUGGGUAAGACAGGUGCCAGCCGCCGCGGUAAUCCCUGCGGUCCAAGUCGCAGUCAUCAUUAUUGGGUCUAAAACAUCCGUAGCUUGUUUAAUAAGUUCUCUGUGAAAUCCCAUGUCUCAAAUGUGGGGCGUGCAGAGAGUACUGUUAGACUAGAGACUGGAAGACGUAAAAAGUAUGUUCAGAGUAGUAGUGAAAUAUUUUAAUCCUGAGCAGACUCACAACAGCGAAGGCAUUUUACGAGGACAGUUCUGACAGUAAGGGAUGAAGGCUAGGGUCGCGAAAGGGAUUAGAUACCCCUGUAGUCCUAGCAGUAAACACUGUACACUAAACCUUGUGACCUCCUCGAGAGGUUGCAGGGCUGUAGCGAAGGCGAAGAGUGUACUACCUGGGAAGUAUAGCCGCAAGGCCGAAACUUAAAGGAAUUGGCGGGGGAGCAC